Notechis scutatus (mainland tiger snake) is the source of this 273-nucleotide non-coding RNA. The record is from RefSeq and is a predicted model, not a curated record. Lineage: Eukaryota; Metazoa; Chordata; Lepidosauria; Squamata; Elapidae.
GGAGCAAGGUUGCAGAAGGGGGAGAACAAAUGGUUUGUUGUUAAUGAAUCCACAAAUGUUGUUUUUUUUCCCCAGCGUCGUGACAUUCACUGCUAACAGCGGUUCUGCUCAGAACUACCUGAAAAUUCCCAUCAGCGUUAUUCCUGAAAUAGCUUUGGAGACUGAUGAGGUUCCACCUGUGUACAAACUCAGAGAAUUUUUCAUGCCUUGUAGGGGCAACAUCCAGAGUGAACCAGUCUGUCGUCGUCAUACUUGGCAAAUGUCAUUCACUGC